RNAcentral lists this transfer-messenger RNA (349 nucleotides) under uncultured Faecousia sp. It matches the Rfam family "transfer-messenger RNA". From Rfam's summary of the family: Bacterial tmRNA, also known as 10Sa RNA or SsrA, is named for its dual tRNA and mRNA-like properties. Its role is to liberate the mRNA from a stalled ribosome. To accomplish this part of the tmRNA is used as a reading frame that ends in a translation stop signal. The record is from RNAcentral. Lineage: Bacteria; Bacillati; Bacillota; Clostridia; Eubacteriales; Oscillospiraceae.
GGGGGCGUACCGGUUUCGACGGGGGUAGUGAGGCCGGAAUAGCGGGUCGUGGCACCUGACCACGAUAAAACGGGUAACUUUUAAAAAUUAACUGACAAUCAUCAGUACGCACUGGCUGCCUAAUUAGGCGCCCAUCCGCCCCGAAAGGUCCACGAGUCGGGCUCGGGUGUGAUUUGAGUGGAGAACGUGUGUGCGGUAAGCUUUGCCCGCGCCAUGCAUCAUGAAGCUACCAAGUCCGGAAGAGUGUCUGUUCCCGCCCGGACAAGGGAACGCAAAUAACAGACUGCACCCGGAGAAGUUCCUGUCAAGCUAUUUUCGGACGGGGGUUCAACUCCCCCCGCCUCCACCA